Long non-coding RNA from Hyla sarda, 835 nucleotides. RefSeq lists it as uncharacterized. Lineage: Eukaryota; Metazoa; Chordata; Amphibia; Anura; Hylidae. The record is from RefSeq and is a predicted model, not a curated record. The transcript is spliced from 3 exons.
UGAAUGGAGUCCGCGGUUGCUACAAGAUAGAAGGCGAAUGUUCCCUGAAUUCUCAGAAAUUGGUGACAUUUGAUGGUCUGACCGGAGGACCUAUCGGAAAUGGCCCAGUAGAGGUGGCGUCUCUGUGCAGUGACAAGUCUACCAGUUGGUUCAGAGUCAUCGCUGAUAUCCAGAGUUGUGGAAAGACGGCAGCAUCAGUGGCAAGAGUUCAUGUCUUCCUCGAUGGCGCUCUGGUGACCAUCUCUAAAGACAAGGAAGUAUGGGUGAAUGGGCGUUUGGGCCGUUUCCCCAUUGGGUCUGGUAUUUUGUCGGCCAAUGUUGCGGAGACCUCUGUUAUUAUCCAGCUUGGCGUUGACUUGAGAAUUGAGUUGAACAAUAGUGGGAAUCUUGUUCUCCGCAUCUCCGAAAAAUUGUCCAAAGCGGUUUGUGGAGCAUGUGGAAACUUUAAUGGAGACACUUCUGAUGACCUCCAGGCUCCAACAGGAAAGGCCGUCACCGAUGUUUUACAGCUCAUAACAUCUUGGAAAGCGCGAGACCUAACCAGCUGUAAUGCAUAAAGAACAGAAAAAAACUAGAAGUUUCCAGAAACCGACCUAAAGAUUGUAUAGAUCGUCGCCCCUCAUAAAAGCCACAAUUGCUGCAUUACUUCUUAAGGACUGUCCAAUGGAAUUACAGGACACAACAAGAAAAACUGCAGAAAACGUCGUCCAUAUAUCAGGACUAGAAGACGCACAGAAUAGAGAUGCUUAGAUUUGGUGAAUUAGUGGAAUAUUCUGAAUUGUCCACUCUAACACAGAUGCAAUUCCAAUGGUUUAUGGGGUCAAUAAAAUUUUAU